UACGUAGGGUGCAAGCGUUGUCCGGAAUUAUUGGGCGUAAAGAGCUCGUAGGCGGCUUGUCGCGUCGGCUGUGAAAACCUGGGGCUCAACCCCGGGCCUGCAGCCGAUACGGGCAAGCUAGAAUUCGGUAGGGGAGACUGGAAUUCCUGGUGUAGCGGUGAAAUGCGCAGAUAUCAGGAGGAACACCGGUGGCGAAGGCGGUAUCCUGGACCGGUAUUGACGCUGAGGCGCGAAAGCUAGGGGAGCAAACGGG
RNAcentral lists this ribosomal RNA (253 nucleotides) under uncultured bacterium. RNAcentral describes it as "partial 16S ribosomal RNA". It matches the Rfam family "Bacterial small subunit ribosomal RNA", at positions 524 to 776 of the family's 1533-position model. The record is from RNAcentral.